Molecule: ribosomal RNA, 253 nt
Filed under: uncultured bacterium
Lineage: Bacteria
Description: partial 16S ribosomal RNA
Rfam family: Bacterial small subunit ribosomal RNA
Source: RNAcentral
UACGUAGGCAGCGAGCGUUGUUCGGAGUUACUGGGCGUAAAGGGUGUGUAGGCGGUUUUCUAAGUUUGGUGUGAAAUCUCCCGGCUCAACCGGGAGGGUGCGCCGAAAACUGGGAGACUAGAGUGCGGGAUGGGAGAGUAGAAUUCCUGGUGUAGCGGUGAAAUGCGUAGAUAUCAGGAGGAAUACCGGUGGUGUAGCCGGCUCUCUGGACCGCCACUGACGCUGAGACACGAAAGCGUGGGUAGCAAACAGG